RNAcentral lists this ribosomal RNA (403 nucleotides) under uncultured bacterium. RNAcentral's name for it is "partial 16S ribosomal RNA". It matches the Rfam family "Bacterial small subunit ribosomal RNA", at positions 28 to 526 of the family's 1533-position model. The record is from RNAcentral.
GACGAACGCUGGCGGCGUGCCUAAUACAUGCAAGUCGAACGCAGUGGGGACGGGUGAGUAACACGUGGGUAACCUCCCAUCAGAGGGGAUAACACUUGGAAACAGGUGCUAAACCGAUACUGAUGGAUGGACCCGCGGUGCAUUAGCUAGUUGGUGAGGUAACGGCUCACCAAGGCCACGAUGCAUAGCCGACCUGAGAGGGUGAUCGGCCACACUGGGACUGAGACACGGCCCAGACUCCUACGGUAGGCAGCAGUAGGGAAUCUUGGGCAAUGGAGGAAAGCCUGAUCGAGCAACGCCGCGUGUAUGAAGAAGGUCUUCGGGUUGUAAAGUACUGUUGUCAGAGAAGCGGUAUCUGAAGAGUAAGCACCGGCUAACUACGUGCCAGCAGCCGCGGUAAUAC